CUGGGGGCCCCACUGCCUGGAGGGGCACCCCAGGGGCACCUCAUGUGACUCCCCAUUGCCCCCUGCCCAGCCCCAUAGCCUCUCAGCCACUUGCCCUCUUCGCCGUCUCUCCUGCUUGUUCUGCUGGCCGCAAUCGAAGCAGCAGGCAAGCUGCCAAGAGCUCCUUUUCUCCCGCCUCUCAGCUGAUCGGCGGGUGGGCGGGGCUUCCACGGAGGCCUCCGUGUAGGCCGCAGUGAAGCCUGAACUCGAGUAGGGCCCAAGCCAGCCAGGAAGGAGGAGGCAGCCAGAGUGUUCUCUGCAGCAGAAGACCUCUUGCUGCCCUGCUUAACCCAGACCAGCAUUUGCCAGGAAAAUGUUUUGAACUGCUGAGAGGACACAAAGCUACCACCAACAACUGAUAGGGCUCUCCAUGCCCUCUCAUUCAGAGGAUGCAGAGUUUUGUGAUUGGUUAAGGAAGAAGCAUAUAUAUAAAUGAUGAGGCUGAUGGAAGUGAUGGACCAUUCUCUGUACCAGAAAACAAAUCAUUGACAGUUCCUGUGCCAGAGACCCCAAGGAUUAGGAGAAGUAUGCAUGAUAGGAGAGCACUUAAAGACUUCAAGACUUCUAAAUGACUCACCAAAUUUUAAAUGAAUUCAAUUAUGUUUCUUAUAGAGGGGAGGUAUGUGUUGUAUUCUAUUUAGCAAUAUUUUAUGUUUUGUUAUUUAGACAUUUGUCCCAGUGCAGAUGCUGUAGACAGUGUGUGUGUGUGUGUGUGUGUGUGUGUGGUGGGUGGGGGCAGGGUGGAGUCAGAAAGGAAAGGCAGGGAAAGGAGAAGGGGAAAGGAGGAGGAGUGUUUUUCCAAAUAAAAUUUAGUUAAGCAUAAGAUUGAUUUGUGUUUAUGAGGGGAGCAGCUAUAAAACAAUUAGGCAUUUAGAUUUCAUUAAACCCUCUUCCCAGUCUUCCCUUCCAUAAUUCAAACACUGGUUGGCAGAUAUA
Long non-coding RNA from Hemicordylus capensis (graceful crag lizard), 975 nucleotides. RefSeq lists it as uncharacterized. The transcript is spliced from 3 exons. Lineage: Eukaryota; Metazoa; Chordata; Lepidosauria; Squamata; Cordylidae. The record is from RefSeq and is a predicted model, not a curated record.